GCACGGGUGAGUAACACGUAUCCAACCUGCCGUCUACUCUUGGACAGCCUUCUGAAAGGAAGAUUAAUACAAGAUGGCAUCAUGAGUCCGCAUGUUCACAUGAUUAAAGGUAUUCCGGUAGACGAUGGGGAUGCGUUCCAUUAGAUAGUAGGCGGGGUAACGGCCCACCUAGUCUUCGAUGGAUAGGGGUUCUGAGAGGAAGGUCCCCCACAUUGGAACUGAGACACGGUCCAAACUCCUACGGGAGGCAGCAGUGAGGAAUAUUGGUCAAUGGGCGAGAGCCUGAACCAGCCAAGUAGCGUGAAGGAUGACUGCCCUAUGGGUUGUAAACUUCUUUUAUAAAGGAAUAAAGUCGGGUAUGGAUACCCGUUUGCAUGUACUUUAUGAAUAAGGAUCGGCUAACUCCGUGCCAGCAGCCGCGGUAAUACGGAGGAUUCGAGCGUUAUCCGGAUUUAUUGGGUUUAAAGGGAGCGUAGAUGGAUGUUUAAGUCAGUUGUGAAAGUUUGCGGCUCAACCGUAAAAUUGCAGUUGAUACUGGAUAUCUUGAGUGCAGUUGAGGCAGGCGGAAUUCGUGGUGUAGCGGUGAAAUGCUUAGAUAUCACGAAGAACUCCGAUUGCGAAGGCAGCCUGCUAAGCUGCAACUGACAUUGAGGCUCGAAAGUGUGGGUAUCAAACAGGAUUAGAUACCCUGGUAGUCCACACGGUAAACGAUGAAUACUCGUUGUUUGCGAUAUACUGCAAGCGGCCA
This 748-nucleotide ribosomal RNA is filed under the name uncultured bacterium. RNAcentral's name for it is "bacterial SSU rRNA". It matches the Rfam family "Bacterial small subunit ribosomal RNA", at positions 100 to 849 of the family's 1533-position model. The record is from RNAcentral.